Molecule: ribosomal RNA, 301 nt
Filed under: uncultured bacterium
Lineage: Bacteria
Description: partial 16S ribosomal RNA
Rfam family: Bacterial small subunit ribosomal RNA
Source: RNAcentral
CAGCCGCCACGGUAAUACGUAGGUCCCGAGCGUUGCCCGGAUUUAUUGGGCGUAAAGCGAGCGCAGGCGGUUAGAUAAGUCUGAAGUUAAAGGCUGUGGCUUAACCAUAGUACGCUUUGGAAACUGUUUAACUUGAGUGCAAGAGGGGAGAGUGGAAUUCCAUGUGUAGCGGUGAAAUGCGUAGAUAUAUGGAGGAACACCGGUGGCGAAAGCGGCUCUCUGGCUUGUAACUGACGCUGAGGCUCGAAAGCGUGGGGAGCAAACAGGAUUAGAUACCCCAGUAGUCCCUGUCUCUUAUACA